Long non-coding RNA from Cygnus olor (mute swan), 579 nucleotides. RefSeq lists it as uncharacterized. The transcript is spliced from 2 exons. The record is from RefSeq and is a predicted model, not a curated record. NCBI's taxonomy places the organism in Eukaryota, Metazoa, Chordata, Aves, Anseriformes, Anatidae.
UCUUAUUUACUACCUAGCUGGUUUUGGCUUUUUUUACAUGCUGAUGCUUCAAGCUUCAGCAGAGAGGAUUCUUCUCUAGCUAAUUCUCUACUCCCUGAUGCAGAAGUUGUAGUAAUAACAGUUUUCUUAUUUCAAUGAAGAAGUAAGAAGAGGACCUGUGUAUGGCUCAGAGGUCUAGGUGCUGAAUCAGGAGCCCAGUCUAACCUGUGGGGCAGGACUAAUUGGACUAAUUGGUACUGAAUGGGACCAAAAGCCAGACGGCAUUUCUCAGCCUAGCAUCGUGACAAAACAGUGGAAGAAGCAAUCAAGAUUCCUGGUAGUAACUUGUGAUCGUUUAUUUGGGGAUGUACCUGUUUCAGAAGCUGUGGACCAAACAUACUCUAGGAAGGCAGAUGAACGGGCAGCAGCAUGGGAGCAGUUUGCUCUUCUGUGGUGGACAGCAAGAAGCCAUUAGCUGAGCUGUCGCCUGCAGCAAGUCAGGAAACUCUUUCCAGUGUGUGCAGAUGCUUCCUGCACACAGUGCUGGUGUCAUACUUGGCACGUGGUUAAAAAUAAAUAAAGUCACACUCGGACUGCUUU